GGCGAGUGAAGCGGCAACAGCUCAAAUUUGAAAUCUGGCCCUCUUUGGGGGUCCGAGUUGUAAUUUGUAGAGGGUGCUUUGGCAUCGGCUGCGGUCCAAGUCCCUUGGAACAGGGCGUCGGAGAGGGUGAGAAUCCCGUAUCUGGCCGCCAGCCUUCGCCGUGUAAAGCCCCUUCGACGAGUCGAGUUGUUUGGGAAUGCAGCUCAAAUUGGGAGGUAAAUUUCUUCUAAAGCUAAAUACCGGCCAGAGACCGAUAGCGCACAAGUAGUGUGAACGAAAGAUGAAAAGCACUUUGGAAAGAGAGUCAAAAAGCACGUGAAAUUGUUGAAAGGGAAGCGCUUGCAGCCAGACGUGCCCGCGGUCGUUCAGCCAGGCUCUUGCCUGGUGCACUCUUCCGUGGGCAGGCCAGCAUCAGUUCCGGUGGUCGGAUAAAGGCCUGCUAAACGUACCUCCUUCGGGAGGACUUAUAGGGUAGGUGGCAUACGACCAGCCAGGAUUGAGGUCCGCGCUUCGGCGAGGAUGCUGGCGUAAUGGUGGCAAGCGGCCCGUCUUGAAACACGGACCAAGGAGUCUAACAUCUAUGCGAGUGUUUGGGUGUCAAGCCCAGGCGCGCAAUGAAAGUGAACGGAGGUGGGAUCCCUUCCCGGGUGCACCAUCGACCGAUCCUGAAGUCUUCGGAUGGAUUUGAGUAAGAGCAUAGCUGUUGGGACCCGAAAGAUGGUGAACUAAGCUUGAAUAGGGUGAAGCCAGAGGAAACUCUGGUGGAGGCUCGCAGCGGUUCUGACGUGCAAAUCGAUCGUCAAAUUUGGGCUUAGGGGCGAAAGA
RNAcentral lists this ribosomal RNA (825 nucleotides) under Phaeoseptum sp. VVS-2018a. RNAcentral's name for it is "partial large subunit ribosomal RNA". It matches the Rfam family "Eukaryotic large subunit ribosomal RNA", at positions 88 to 930 of the family's 3401-position model. The record is from RNAcentral. Lineage: Eukaryota; Fungi; Ascomycota; Dothideomycetes; Pleosporales; Phaeoseptaceae.